Molecule: transfer RNA, 78 nt
Filed under: Acidobacteriota bacterium
Lineage: Bacteria; Pseudomonadati; Acidobacteriota
Also listed under: 4 other names
Description: tRNA-Ile
Rfam family: tRNA
About the family: Transfer RNA (tRNA) molecules are approximately 80 nucleotides in length. Their secondary structure includes four short double-helical elements and three loops (D, anti-codon, and T loops).
Source: RNAcentral
GGGCCUAUAGCUCAGUUGGUUUAGAGCACACGCCUGAUAAGCGUGAGGUCGGUAGUUCGAAUCUACCUAGGCCCACCA